UGGGGAAUAUUGCGCAAUGGGGGAAACCCUGACGCAGCGACGCCGCGUGAGCGAUGAAGGCCUUCGGGUCGUAAAGCUCUGUUUUAGGGGACGAAUGUCCAGACGAGUAAUAUGCGUUUGGAAUGACGGUACCCUAAGAGGAAGCCCCGGCUAACUCCGUGCCAGCAGCCGCGGUAAGACGGAGGGGGCGAGCGUUGUCCGGAAUUACUGGGCGUAAAGAGCACGUAGGCGGGACUUUAAGUCAGGUGUGAAAGACCGAGGCUCAACCUCGGGAUUGCACUUGAAACUGGAGUUCUUGAGGGCAGGAGAGGAAAGCAGAAUUCCUGGUGUAGCGGUGAAAUGCGUAGAAAUCAGGAGGAAUACCGGUGGCGAAGGCGGCUUUCUGGACUGACCCUGACGCUGAGGUGCGAAAGCGUGGGUAGCAAACAGG
This 430-nucleotide ribosomal RNA is filed under the name uncultured prokaryote. RNAcentral's name for it is "bacterial SSU rRNA". It matches the Rfam family "Bacterial small subunit ribosomal RNA", at positions 355 to 776 of the family's 1533-position model. RNAcentral also lists the same sequence under 1 other name. The record is from RNAcentral.